GCAAUCAGAUGGGCGUAUUUUGUAAAGUGAAUUUCUUUAAUGGACUGGCCUGUACGACCUAGAGAUUCUGAAAGGUUGUGAAAUCUGAUUAAUCUUUGCACCGAUCUCUGCUAUUCAAUUAUUGAAUCAUUGCAUUAGUCGGAAUCGAAGCGUCACCUUCAACGGGCUCGUUAUCUCGUUUUUCUCCACUCCUCCCACGAUCUAUCAUUGAAUGCAUCUCCCUUCGUUUUUUUCUCAGAAUCUGCAACUAUCAAAAGCUAAGGUGAAGAUGAAGAGACUGAGACGAUCCAGUAAAAAUGCAAACAGGAAAAUCCAGUAUGCUUGAUGGGAUUAUCAGGCAUGUUCUAUAUCCAGAAACAAGUUGAGGCAAGGUAUUGUGAAUCUUCCUUCCAUUGAGAAGUAAUUGGUAGCUGCUACAAGGAUAACUGCAUAACUUAUGGUCAAAACCGCAUAUUUCCAGGGAACUAUAAAUCUUCAUGAAAGAUAAAUUCUUGGACCCUUACGAUGUUUUUUUUGUUACACAUCAAGAUUGCUCUAGCCUUUGAUUUUAGUGUUACUGUCUUGAGGUAAGUAGAAUUGAAACUGAUUAUGUAUGAAGUUUUCUAUAUAGAAUCAGUCUAGCAAAUUGCAAAAUCUGAAUCUAUUUUCAUUCAAAAAAAUAAAAAAAAUCUGAAUCUAUUUCUAAUACAACUUACAAGACCAACGCCUUACUUAGGACUUUGCAGUAACUAUAAACUCUGACGGUAUUAGGCAACCCAUUCUCUGUGCUUUGCUUUAGUAUGGCUAAUCUGAUUCGCUUCGUGUGUGUUAAUAACUUUUUCGCUUUGUGUGUGUUAAUAACUUUUCCUCUGGUUCCAUGAUAUUUGAAGUUGUUUUCAUGAAUUCUUUCAGGUACCAGUUGAUAAGAAUACCUUCUAUAGGUUCGGGCACCUACAAAUUUGUAGAUUUGUUCGAAGACGUUGGGACAGCUGUGUUUGUUGAUUAAAUGAGAGACUACGGACCAGAUUUCAGAAAACAAUAACAACAGCAACAAGAUGUGACUCAAUGAGAAACUCUUUGAAAGCACACUCAGUCCAUCUUUGAGCACAUGGACUUCCUCUUGAUACUCACCAAUUACAACAACAUGACCAAGCAGGGGAGAGGGGAAGGAGUAUCAGCGGAGGUGAAGAAGAUGAGAGAGGAAGUAUAAUGUGUGUAGGAUGAUCCAGUGAAGAUCGUGUGUGAGAAGAAAGAGUUGAUGAGGAAGAAGGCAUUGGAGCUGAAGGAGUGGAAAUUGGGUACCAGUGGUAGGCGGUGGAGAUGGAAAAGCAGAGAGUGAGGUGGAUGAGAUAGCGUAGCAAGAAAGAAAUGGAUAAGGUUAUGCGAGAGAACUUGCGAGGAAGGCUUGAGAUGGAAAGGAUGGUUCAUAUUAUGAGGCGGAGAGAUAUGGUUAGCGGAGUUAAAGUCGUUGUGUAAAAAAGUUGAACCGAGUUCUGCAAUUGGUGAGCUGAUUAAUGUUAGGAGGAUACUGACACUGUCGACAUAAUCAGAAAAGGCACAACGUAUUUGCAUGAUUGAUUAGAAGAGAUUAAGCAUAUUUAGAGUUAUAUUUUUUGAGUUUGGUGCAAACAAAUUCAACAAAUAAAAAUUCAGUUGAAAUAUGUAAUAUAACCUAAUUACAGUUAAAA
This is a long non-coding RNA of Brassica rapa (field mustard), 1667 nucleotides long. RefSeq lists it as uncharacterized. The record is from RefSeq and is a predicted model, not a curated record. NCBI's taxonomy places the organism in Eukaryota, Viridiplantae, Streptophyta, Magnoliopsida, Brassicales, Brassicaceae.